AUACAUUGGGCCCAGCCUCCUGUUUCCUUGAAUUUGUUAUUCCCAGCUGUAGCGACCUAAAAAUUUCGGCACGGGCGCUAAUCGAAAUAAAUAUUGAAAAUUUGAAAACAGAAUCUCGAUCUAUUUGAAAAGGGAGUCGCCACCGAUCUUUUUUCAUAGGUGUGAUCGGACACCUAAUAAAUUCUCUUUUUAGAAGAAAAAUUUAUUUUUAAACUUUUCUAAAAAAGAGGUAAUUUUAGGUCUACGUGAAGAUCCAGAGAAAAUUAGAGUUCGGGAGUCGGUUACGCGCGAGGAAGGUAUUAGCACCCUCGCGACGCCCAAAAUUGGUAUCUCGUUAAACGCAUGUUGUCUUAAUUUUCAAAAAUACGAGUUCCAUUUAAUAUUUAGUCGUGAUCCGAUUGAAAUAUGAAAACUUUUUUUAAGACACGAGAAUUUUGAAGCACGAAAUUUUUUUUAAAAAAUUGAAAGUUUUUUUUUAAAACAUGAGAAUUUUUAAACACGGAAAUUUCAAAAACACGAAAAUUUUUAAAACACGACAUUUUUUUGAAACACGAGAAUUUUUAAAACAAGACAUUUUUUGAAACACAAUUUUUUUCUUAAAAAAAUUUAAAAUACGAGAAUUUUUAAAACACGAAAAUUUUUAAAACAUGAAAAUUUUUGAAACACGGAAAUUUUUUAGAAAACGAUUUUUUUUAAAAUCACCGGAGUUUUUGAAAACACGAAAAUCUUUGAAACACCGAAAUUUUUGAAAACACGAAAAUUUUUGAAACACCGAAAUUUUUGAAAACACGAAGAUUUUUUUUUAACACGGAAAUUUUUGAAACACGGUCAUUUUUUUUGAAAACACGAAAAUUUUUGAAAGACAUGAUUUUUUUGAAAAUACGGAAAUUUAUAAAACACGAAAAUUUUUUCUGAAAACAAGAAAAUUUUUGAAACACUAGAAUUUUGAAAACACGAUUUUUCUUUAACAAAUACCGUAUUUAACACGAAUCGAUGAUAUUCAUCCCGAUAUGGCGAUGAAACCAUCGAACUAGUGUUAACUCAAUUCAAUUUAAUAUUUAAUUGGGAUUCUAAUAAAACACAAGAAUUUUUAUUAAAAUACGAUGAUUUUUGAAUAUUUUUUUAAAAGGGCGUCCCGAAUUUAACACGAGCUAUCGAUAUCCACCCAACAUAGCGAUGAAUUCGAUGACUCUAUGCUAAAUCGGUUCGUUGCCUUAUGCAUUAAAAUAUUAUUAUUAUUAUUUUUUAAAAAAAUAUGCAAUUAAAAUGACAUAAUAAUAUUUAUGAAAACUAUUUUUAAACAUACUAAUUUAAAUUAAAUAAAACAACAUUUAAAUACAUUAAAUAAAACAAAAUAGAUUAAAAAAAUUACCCAAAAAGGCCCUUUUUCUUUUUUUCGGUUUGGGCCUCAGUUGGCCCGCUUCACUGCUGCAAUCGGCCCGCUGGAGCUGCUGGUAUAUUGGGCCUGCACUGGGUCAAGUCCAUUGGUGGUGGACUGCUGGUGGCUUACCAAAAAUGGGCUGCUGUUUUUAUUUUUUUAAUUACUUUUUAAUUACUUUUUUUCUUUCUUUUUCUUUCUCUUUUUUUCUUUCUUUUUUCUUCUUCUCUUUUUCUUGUCUCAAAGCCUUGGCCCUUCUUUUUCACCGCCGUCGGUGUCUCCUGGGUGCGGUGGUUGGACGGUCGCCGGCGUUCUCCUUUCCCUCCUCUCUUCUUCUUCUUUCUUCACUUCUUUCUACUUUACUUUUUUUUUUUGCUUGCUUGCUGCUAUUUUCCUUUCUUUUGUUUAUGCUUGCACAUUUCUUAGCUUGACUUCGGCGAGGAGCAACGAUGAUCGUUGCAUGGCGAUCGUGGUGGCGUGUGUACGGUGGCGGUGAGCGUGGGAUCGGCCCAUGGGAGUAUUUUUUUUGCUGCUGGAAUUUUCUGCUAUUUUUUUUUUUGCUUUUGGUUGCCGAAAAAAUCCCCCCUCCCUUCUCUUCAAUUUUUCUUUUUAAAAGCUCCAAAUUUUGUCCUCUUUCUCAUUGUUUGCAGGUAGUGGGUGAAGAAGGAGC
This 2048-nucleotide long non-coding RNA is filed under the name Gossypium barbadense (sea-island cotton). RNAcentral's name for it is "long non-coding RNA (GBAR_LNC023054)". The record is from RNAcentral. Lineage: Eukaryota; Viridiplantae; Streptophyta; Magnoliopsida; Malvales; Malvaceae.